Molecule: ribosomal RNA, 463 nt
Filed under: uncultured bacterium
Lineage: Bacteria
Description: bacterial SSU rRNA
Rfam family: Bacterial small subunit ribosomal RNA
Source: RNAcentral
CCAGACUCCUACGGGAGGCAGCAGUGAGGAAUAUUGGUCAAUGGCCGGAAGGCUGAACCAGCCAAGCCGCGUGAGGGAGGAAGGCGCAGAGCGUCGCAGACCUCUUUUGCCGGGGGACAAAAGGCCGGACUCGUCCGGUCCUGAGGGUACCCGGAGAAAAAGCAUCGGCUAACUCCGUGCCAGCAGCCGCGGUAAUACGGAGGAUGCGAGCGUUAUCCGGAUUUAUUGGGUUUAAAGGGUGCGUAGGCGGACGCUUAAGUCAGCGGUAAAAUUGCGGGGCUCAACCUCGUCGAGCCGUUGAAACUGGGUGCCUUGAGUGGGCGAGAAGUACGCGGAAUGCGUGGUGUAGCGGUGAAAUGCAUAGAUAUCGCGCAGAACUCCGAUUGCGAAGGCAGCAUGCCGGCUCCACACUGACGCUGAGGCACGAAAGCGUGGGUAUCGAACAGGAUUAGAUACCCGUGUA